GGCGGCAGGAGCGGGAGCACGGCAGCAGCCAUGGCCGCGGGGCCUGGCCGCCGGCUGCUCGCUGGCCGGCCUUGGGACGCGGCCUUUCUGGGAUGGCGGGGAGAGUUCAGCGCAUAUCCAAGCAGCUGGAAGAAUGUGAAGAGCACAGGAAAGGGCAGGUAACUGUGCUGGAAGAGCAUAAAGCAGCAGGUACACAACCCACAUACCCAUCAGCUGAGGUACCCUACAAACUUUGUGCAGAUUGAGGCAUUUGGAUGUAGUCCCUCUCCAACCUCAACCAUUCUGUGACCCUAUGAAGACCCACUGCCCGCUGAUGCACCUGUUGGCUGCUGGCUGCCAGCCCUGGCUCUGUGGCCAUGGUUUGGUGGCUGUGCAGGAGCUUGACUCACAGAACGUGGAAAGGAAGCAAAACUGGAGAUGAGGCACAAGGGUUGUCAGUGUCACCCUCUCCUUUAUGUGUAGCGUUAUAAAACAAACCAGCAUGGUGACUGAGGGAGCCACAGGCAAACAUUUUUGACUAUCUGCACAUGAUCAGACAGGCAGACCCGUUCUCCUGGCAUGUCUGGCACAGCCUUAAUUAAGGAAGUCAGGAGCUGGAGUUGAAACUGCGGUAUCACAUUUCACAUAAUGUGAGAAUUGAUGGUUUCCUACAGUCAGCACUGACAAAAAUCUUUCCUUCCUCCAAGUUCAAAGCAACUGUUGAACAUGCAGAUGGGUCGUAUCUACACCUUUCCCCUCGCAGCAGAAAGUGCGUUAGAUGAUUAAGAAUUUAAACUGCAUUGUGAGUAAGGAUCCCUGCAGUUUUGAGAAAUAAGGGUUUCCUUAGAAACCAGGAAAUGUAGUUUAGGAGCAGACGUUUAUGAGGGCGAAUAUGUACACCAUCAAUUAACACCUUGUUUCGUUCACAAGUUCAGUUAUAUUUACAACACUGCUAUGAAUCAGUGAAAGCAGACAGUUUUGUGUGUGCAUCAGGGCUGUGAAAGAUGUACUCUGUGCUACCAGACAAACAGGGAUUCACACCAUAUGGCUGAUUCAGGAGUUUUGACCGAUUUAGAGCAAAUGCACGGUAAUUUCCCCCUGGGCUGGUUAGAAUGAGUAUUAAUAGAGAUCAGAAAUGACAAAUAGGGGAAUGGACAGUGAUUGUUCCCAGGUUACACCCCUCUAAACCUCAUGCAAGCUUUUGAAGCUGCUUACUUGGCAAAGCCAGUGGUUUGUACCUGGCUUCUGUGGUAUUUGUGUCUGGUCACAGUAAAAUCCCACCAACUGUUCCCGGGUCAAAGUGGAGGACAGUUGGCUGCAGUGUGAUGUCCAGAGUUGCUCGUAGGCUGAACGUGCUCAAAAAGCAGCCAGGCAGGCCACAAGGAGACUGCGGAAGCUGAGCUCAGCACAGACAACCAACCUGUGGUGUUGGUUUCCCUGGAGCCAGUUCUGUGUCCAUCCUGGUGCUGGGGCACCCUCACAUCGUACGUCCACACCCUGAGAUGUGGCCAUUACAAAUAGCGCUGCAGUGCAGCUGGCAAGCAGAAGAGUAAACGGUUGUGGACCCAGCUGGCAUAAAAUUAACCCUGGUUUUAUCUUGCUUUCACUGAAGGAGAUUUAUUCUCCUCCUUUGCAAGAAGAUAAUUUAGAAGAUAGUUUAUAAUUGCCUGCGAGAGUCUCCUCAAUUCAAUUUCUGAUCAGCUUGUGUAGUGGAAAUAAUGAAUAAUGGGUUUUGAGCCCAAACUUGAAUUCCAUAUUUGGUACUAAAGCAGGUGCUUUGUGUGCCCCUGUGCUGACCUGCAGCUGCUGCGAUCAGAGCGCAGCACCCUCUGCCUGCAGGAGCACCACCAAGGCAGGCUGAUCCCUGAAGGACAGGCUCCAUUUGCAGCUGGAGGAUGGUGGGAGCUGAAAUUUUUCAUCCAGUGGCUUGUUUCGGGACAGCUUCACGAUCCAAAUGCAACUUUAAUUUUUGCAACACUAUUGAAGUCAGAGAGGACUGGAAAGACAACCACAGCCUGGAAACGGUCUCCCUUCUUCUGGAGAUUCACUGUCUCGUCUACAACCACUUGAGCAGAAGAAGCAGAAGUCCUGCACAGGCUGCUCUGUUUUGGGCACAAAAUCUUCUGGCUGAUGGUAGUAAAAUCAGUUUUGAAGUAAAAAAUAUAGUUAUGGAAGUAAUGCCUAAUGCAGGUAAUUACAAAGAGUUCAAGCUAAGGUUUUUCAAACAGUCUCUGCUGUCACAUAGCCUAUGUUUUAGGGUUUGAUUUCCCCACCUGUGCAAUAUUCUCACUCAGUGGUUGUGUAACAAGUAGACUGUCUAUCCAUUAAUGGAAAAUGAAAACACAACACACCUAAGACCCAUGUCAUAAGAAAAAAUGCCUGCACCAGCUCUAGACUAGGCUUAUAUAUGUCUUAACAUACAGGAAAGAAAAAAAAAGCAUGACUGGGCCAUUGUUUCAUCUGAAGUAUUGCAAAGUUUUUCCCAAGGAAUAAAAGCGUGUGAAGGACCCCCAUCCUGAAUGGGAUUUUUGCAACUUUUGACCCACUGCAAACAUGAGACCUCAGUCUGUGAAAAUACGGUAGGCUUAAAAAUCCAAUCAGCCUAUGGCAGUCAGGCGAGCCAAAGGAGUGGCUUUCCAUCUCCCUUUCCAUCAGGGAGGCUGGUGGUCACCUCGUGAAUGCUUCUACUGGCACAUGUGCUUGCGUGUGUGCUGUCUGCUCAGCCCUGCUCCCAGCACCUCUUGGCAGAGCCACGACAAAAAUAAAUGGAGGUGUGAAAGCCAUAUUUACACAGCCUUAAACAUACUCUGUGCAGAAGAUUUAAGGGCUUGCUGAGAGAUGGUGUGACAAGCUUCAGCAGGGAGCACGUCCUGCAGAGCCCUGAUGUCUCAUUCAGGUCAUGCCUCUCCUAUGACCUCUCCAAAGAGAAGUCUUCCUAAGGGAAGAGAUGUAGCGUGUUGUUUGGAUGUUUGAAAACAGAUAUAUAUAUAUUUGUGGGAAAAAUCCAGUGUUAAUGAAGUUUGAUCCCUAAUCUCAAUAGAGCAGGAGCAUUGCUCUCCCAGAAAUGUUCUUAACUGUUCAAAAAGUCAUUCUAAUCUCCCAGUUAGCAAAUAAAUCGUAUAUGAAAAGAAACAAACACUGUAAGCUGGGAUCCUACAAAGAAGUUACUUUAAAAAAGAAGUUGAUUUCACAUCAUUUGUCAAAAAAAAAGAAGCAAGGGUAGAAGUAUUACAUUAAGUUUUCAUUGUUUGCCAUUUAAAUAACAUCUUAGUUUGACGUACCUUUGGACAUCAGUCUUACUCUUUAUAGACUUAAUAUUAAAGCUGGAAAAACAUGAAGCUGCAAGAAAUCUUUGUGGCAAUGUACAUUCUGACUGAGAUAAGCCUGUUUUCACAUUCACAUGAUACUGACAAAACUGGAGUAACUUGUUGAUAUAUUUUGAGGACUGUCAGCCUAUUUUUCCUUCAGGAUGACUUUGGAAUUUUACGGUGAAGAGUGGCAUAAAGCAGAUAUCGAGCCAAAAGCUUGUCUUUAAUGAACAGUACUUACUACAUAAAGAAAUCAGCAUCCAUACCGCAUCUCCUUUCAAGAAAUCCCUUUUUGAUUCUAUUCUGAGUCACUGAUGGAGAACACGGGGUAUGAAUGGCAAUAAACGUCGUGAUAUAAAAUAAUAAAUACAUUUUCACUGUAAAAUAUUAUUUAGCUAGGUCUUGGAUGGUGAAUAAAAUAUUCAUGCAUCAAGGCAGUCAAAAUCUUCAUGCUCCUGCUUUGCAUGUGCAAGGGAUGAAGGACUCCUGCUGUUACCAGACAGUAAGAAAGGGGUAUGGGCCAUUCGUGCUACUAGCACAGGUAGUGUGUCAGCACUAGCUAUUACACUGGAGCAAAUGAGGUGGGAUUCAACUGUCCGAAUGUGACUUGCAGCCAGAGGUGUGUGAGAGCUCUGGCCACAGCUGCACGAGGCUGUUUUUCUCAAAAGCCAGUUCUGAUCCUCAGAGGAUGCAGUUCCUAUGAGACUGCAGUCCCUGGAGAGAUGAAGGCAACAGUGACAGAGAGGUCUGGCUGCUCCCCAUUGCAUGCUGGAGUUACAGCCCUUCCAGCUCCGGCUCUUCUUCCCUGGCCUUAUUGUACAGCAAAAUAAUUCAGCAGAAAUAAAAGUAAAAUGCUUGAACCAGGUGAAAUUUAAAGAGUUUAAAUUGUGAUUUGUGAAGCAAAACUGCUGAAUGAGUAAAAGAAAAAGAAGCAUGAAAGAUCUCAUAUUAGUUUUUCCAUUUCAGAAGACUUGCCUGUAGAGUGACCCUCCCUGCAUUCUUCGGGCUUUAAUUAAUUAAAAGCAGGGAGAAAGUUAGGAUUUUGGUUCAGGUUAAAUAUUCCAGACUUGAACUGAAGAUGUUGCUUUAAUGACCUGGACACUAUCCAGGAAGUAUGCAAAGGCUAGCAGGCACUUCUGACAGCUAAUAUAUCUGAUAAAAAAGAGCAUUCUGGCCAAUUAAAGAACUGGGGUAGAAAUAAUGGUUUGUCACCAAGUGUGUAGCUGAGGCCAAUUGGUCCAGAUUAACCAAUGGGUUCUCCUUUGUAAGUGAAUUUAAAGGUCACAGUGAGCUGUCUUGGUGGGUAAAAGAUAAAAAUGUUAAAUUAAUAUGGUGGCAAAAAAUUUUCAAAUGUGAGACAUGGAAAUAAAAAUUAGAUUUACAAAUCAUGCAGAAUCACCUGGAGUGGACUAAGCAAAUUGCUCUUAAGGCAGAAGGUCAUGAAGAAAAAAAGUGUGAAUAAAAGUAUGAGUUCCAUCCCCUGUAGAAAGCAGAGGUUUCUUUAAAUAUACACAGGUAAAUGUUCUCCUGAAGGGCUUCAGUAUAAACUAACAAUGGGGAGCAUAUGCAUCUGUACUCUUGCAUGGAGUGAGGGGGGACUGUUUGGGGCUAUCUAGUUUCCAUUUUCUACAGUACAGUGCAUUAUUAUAUUAUUAAUAGCUGACCUACACAACCCUACUUCAUCAUGAGGGGACCAUCUCUGUUCUCACUGCACGUUUUAGUAUUUUCAUUUUAGUU
This is a long non-coding RNA of Gallus gallus (chicken), 5024 nucleotides long. RefSeq lists it as uncharacterized. The transcript is spliced from 3 exons. The record is from RefSeq and is a predicted model, not a curated record. Lineage: Eukaryota; Metazoa; Chordata; Aves; Galliformes; Phasianidae.